AUUGAACGCUGGCGGCAGGCCUAACACAUGCAAGUCGAGCGGAUGAAGGGAGCUUGCUCCUGGAUUCAGCGGCGGACGGGUGAGUAAUGCCUAGGAAUCUGCCUGGUAGUGGGGGAUAACGUCCGGAAACGGGCGCUAAUACCGCAUACGUCCUGAGGGAGAAAGUGGGGGAUCUUCGGACAUCACGCUAUCAGAUGAGCCUAGGUCGGAUUAGCUAGUUGGUGGGGUAAAGGCCUACCAAGGCGACGAUCCGUAACUGGUCUGAGAGGAUGAUCAGUCACACUGGAACUGAGACACGGUCCAGACUCCUACGGGAGGCAGCAGUGGGGAAUAUUGGACAAUGGGCGAAAGCCUGAUCCAGCCAUGCCGCGUGUGUGAAGAAGGUCUUCGGAUUGUAAAGCACUUUAAGUUGGGAGGAAGGGCAGUAAGUUAAUACCUUGCUGUUUUGACGUUACCAACAGAAUAAGCACCGGCUAACUUCGUG
RNAcentral lists this ribosomal RNA (484 nucleotides) under uncultured bacterium. RNAcentral describes it as "partial 16S ribosomal RNA". It matches the Rfam family "Bacterial small subunit ribosomal RNA", at positions 30 to 507 of the family's 1533-position model. The record is from RNAcentral.